AGAGUUUGAUCAUGGCUCAGCGCGAACGCUGGCGGCACGCUUUAUACAUGCAAGUCGAGCGGUAACAGAGGAGCUUGCUCCUGCUGACGAGCGGCGAACGGGUGAGUAAUGCAUAGAUAACCUACCGAUAAGUCUGGGAUAGCCUUGCUAACGCGGGGGUAAUACCGGAUGUGAAUAUAUUUAGGCAUCUAAAUAUAUUUAAAGAUUUUAUCGCUUAUUGAUGGGUCUAUGUGACAUCAGCUAGUUGGUGAGGUAAAUGCUCACCAAGGCUACGACGUCUAGCCGACCUGAGAGGGUGAUCGGCCACAUCGGGACUGAGAUACGGCCCGGACUCCUACGGGAGGCAGCAGUAGGGAAUUUUGGGCAAUGGACGCAAGUCUGACCCAGCGAUGCCGUGUGUGGGAAGACGCCUUGCGGGGUGUAAACCACUGUCAAUGGUGAAUAAGUAAGUGAAGGUAGCCAUAGAGGAAGCACCGGCUAACUCCGUGCCAGCAGCCGCGGUAAUACGGAGGGUGCAAGCGUUGCGCGGAAUUACUGGGCGUACAGGGUCCGUAGGCGGUUUAUUAAGUCAGUCUUUAAAGACCGCAGCUCAACUGCGGGAAAGGGAUUGAUACUGAUAAACUAGAGUGUGAGAGGGGAAUUUGGAAUUACGGGGAGUAGCGGUGGAAUGCGUAGAUACCCGUAAGAACGCCGAAAGGCGAAGGCAGAAUUCUGGGCUCAUUACUGA
This 727-nucleotide ribosomal RNA is filed under the name uncultured bacterium. RNAcentral describes it as "bacterial SSU rRNA". It matches the Rfam family "Bacterial small subunit ribosomal RNA", at positions 8 to 743 of the family's 1533-position model. The record is from RNAcentral.